This is a long non-coding RNA of Chelonoidis abingdonii (Abingdon island giant tortoise), 1094 nucleotides long. RefSeq lists it as uncharacterized. Lineage: Eukaryota; Metazoa; Chordata; Testudines; Testudinidae. The record is from RefSeq and is a predicted model, not a curated record.
GAGCCAGGACUCCUGGGUUCUCUCCCUGGCUCUGGGAGGGUCUAAGCACCCCAUGGUUUGGCAUUUGUCCGUUAGCUCUCGGCGGCGGCCCUGCCAGACAAUUGGCUGCUUUGCCGUUUGUGGUUUCUGACAAUCUUGACAUGGGUGUGAUGCAACCUUCCCUCCCCGCACUUCCCCCCGCCCCCGGGCUGGACUGACUGGGCUGCAGCCCUUCCGGCCCAGGCCCAGCUGGGUCCCUGAUGGCACCGGGGGAGGCUUCAGGUGCCAUUCUGGUCCCAAAGAGCCUGUGGAACUCCCUGCCACAUGCUGAUGCCGGUGCUGAGAGUCAGGAGUCCUGGCUUCUAGUCCCAGCUCUGGUUUGGGGUCUGCUGGGUUAGAGUGAGUGGGGGGGCUGGGGAGGGUCAGGACUCCUGGGUUCUCUCUCCAGCCAUUGGUGAUGAUCGAGAAAGUCCCUUUGCCUUACUUCCUGCUGAAAGGACAGCGCCAUGGAAGCUCUAUGUUCCUGCGCCCUCCAGUGGUUGUGAUGGGAAUUGCCCCCCUGUGUCCUAUACCCUAUACUGCUGACUGGAGAAUUGCCUCCAUCCCAGGUGCUGCGGGCCAUGCUCUGCAGGGUACAGGGCUCUGAAGUCAGUUCCCCACCCCAAAUCCAUCACUGUGUGGACUAAUGCUCCCCCUGUCUUUCCCCAGCAGCUCUUCCCAAUGUGAAUCUGGCUUCUGACUCUGUCGGGGGGGGAGAAAGGCCCAGCAGCCUCAUCAGCACCCGUGCUCCGCUAGCGACCCGGACAGGCGGGCGCCCGCAGAUCCCCCCCACCCUUGGAAAUCCCCCAGCCCCCAACACGCUCGGACCCACAAGCCGCUGCCAUCUGGGUUCGGUGCCGUGGGCCGAGCCUCCCACGGUGAGGGGCGUGGGGCUGUAGCCAGCAGGUCAUAGGACAGCAGAAGCUAAACCCAACGCACACGUAGAGGGCGAUGGCCGCCGAGACGCUCAAUUUUGGACCGGAAUGGCUCCGCGCGCUGUCCAGUUGCGGGGGAGAGCGCGGCCUCGCCCUCCUGCCCUCGAACCUGCCAUGCCAAAGAUACAAACGCUCGCCGGG